CGGGCGCGGCGCCGGUCUAAGUCCUUUGGAACGGGGCGUCACAGAGGGUGAGAAUCCCGUCUGCGGCCGGCGAUCAAGCCCGGGUGAAACUCCUUCGACGAGUCGAGUUGUUUGGGAAUGCAGCUCAAAAUGGGUGGUAAAUUUCAUCUAAAGCUAAAUACCGGCCAGAGACCGAUAGCGCACAAGUAGAGUGAUCGAAAGAUGAAAAGCACUUUGGAAAGAGAGUCAAAAAGUACGUGAAAUUGUUGAAAGGGAAGCGCUUGCAACCAGACCUGCCCGCGGGCGAUCAGCCGUCCCUUCGGGGCGGUGCACGCGCCCGUGCACAGGCCAGCAUCGGUUCCCGCGGCCGGAUAAAGACCCUGGGAACGUAGCUCCUCUCGGGGAGUGUUAUAGCCCAAGGUGCCAUGCGGCCAGCGGGGACCGAGGACCGCGCUUCGGCAAGGAUGCUGGCGUAAUGGUUGUAAGCGGCCCGUCUUGAAACACGGACCAAGGAGUGUAACAUCUAUGCGAGUGUUUGGGCGUCAAACCCAUACGCGGAAUGAAAGUGAACGGAGGUGGGAACCCGCCCAGGGCGCACCAUCGACCGAUCCAGAUGUCAUCGGAUGGAUUUGAGUACGAGCAUAGCUGUUGUGACCCGAAAGAUGGUGAACUAUGCCUGAAUAGGGUGAAGCCAGAGGAAACUCUGGUGGAGGCUCGCAGCGGUUCUGACGUGCAAAUCGAUCGUCAAAUUUGGGUAUAGGGGCGAAAGACUAAUCGAACCAUC
Molecule: ribosomal RNA, 763 nt
Filed under: Haloplaca sp. 6 UA-2013
Lineage: Eukaryota; Fungi; Ascomycota; Lecanoromycetes; Teloschistales; Teloschistaceae
Description: LSU rRNA
Rfam family: Eukaryotic large subunit ribosomal RNA
Source: RNAcentral